GCCCGCCUAGCUCAAUCGGCUAGAGCGUCAGACUUUUACGAAGGGUGCACCCAACGAAAUAUCAUCUGAAGGCUGCGAGUUCGACCCUCGCGGUGGGCU
Tephrocybe rancida is the source of this 99-nucleotide non-coding RNA. The record is from the annotation of a GenBank genome assembly. NCBI's taxonomy places the organism in Eukaryota, Fungi, Basidiomycota, Agaricomycetes, Agaricales, Lyophyllaceae.